Molecule: ribosomal RNA, 234 nt
Filed under: uncultured bacterium
Lineage: Bacteria
Description: partial 16S ribosomal RNA
Rfam family: Bacterial small subunit ribosomal RNA
Source: RNAcentral
GCAAGUCGAACGGUAAGGCACCUUCGGGUGUACACGAGUGGCGGACGGGUGAGUAACGCGUGGGAAUUUACCCAAUAGUACGGAAUAACCCUUGGAAACGAGAGCUAAUACCGUAUAUUCCAGGCUUGCCUGGGAAAGAUUUAUCGCUAUUGGAUGAGCCCGCGUCCGAUUAGCUUGUUGGUAAGGUAAUGGCUUACCAAGGCUAUGAUCGGUAGCUGAUCUGAGAGGAUGAUC